GCGGCCUAUCAGCUUGUUGGCGAGGUAAUGGCUCACCAAGGCGACGACGGGUAGCUGGUCUGAGAGGAUGACCGGCCACAUUGGGACUGAGACACGGCCCAGACUCCUACGGGAGGCAGCAGUGGGGAAUAUUGCGCAAUGGGCGAAUGCCUGACGUAGCGACGCCGCGUGUGGGAUGAAGGUCUUCGGAUCGUAAACCACUGUCAGAGGGGACGAAGGCCCGGAGCUAACUACUAUCGGGAUUGACGGUACCCUCGGAGGAAGCACCGGCUAACUCUGUGCCAGCAGCCGCGGUAAUACAGAGGGUGCGAGCGUUGUCCGGAAUCACUGGGCGUAAAGGGCGUGUAGGCGGCUGGAUAAGCCGCGUGUGAAAUCCCGGGGCUCAACCCCGGAACGGCACGCGGGACUGUUCGGCUAGAGAAUGGUAGAGGCAAGUGGAAUUCCUGGUGUAGCGGUGGAAUGUGUAGAGAUCAGGAAGAACACCGGUGGCGAAGGCGGCUUGCUGGGCCAUUUCUGACGCUGAGGCGCGAAAGCGUGGGGAGCAAACAGGAUUAGAUACCCCGGUAGUCCACGCUGUAAGCGAUGGGUGCUAGGCGUCGGGGGGAGCGACCCUCCCGGUGCCGUCGCUAACGCAAUAAGCACCCCGCCUGGGGAGUACGG
RNAcentral lists this ribosomal RNA (660 nucleotides) under uncultured bacterium. RNAcentral describes it as "bacterial SSU rRNA". It matches the Rfam family "Bacterial small subunit ribosomal RNA", at positions 233 to 885 of the family's 1533-position model. The record is from RNAcentral.